RNAcentral lists this ribosomal RNA (486 nucleotides) under uncultured bacterium. RNAcentral describes it as "partial 16S ribosomal RNA". It matches the Rfam family "Bacterial small subunit ribosomal RNA", at positions 30 to 507 of the family's 1533-position model. The record is from RNAcentral.
AUUGAACGCUGGCGGCAUGCCUUACACAUGCAAGUCGAACGGCAGCACGGGUGCUUGCACCUGGUGGCGAGUGGCGAACGGGUGAGUAAUACAUCGGAACAUGUCCUGUAGUGGGGGAUAGCCCGGCGAAAGCCGGAUUAAUACCGCAUACGAUCUACGGAUGAAAGCGGGGGACCUUCGGGCCUCGCGCUAUAGGGUUGGCCGAUGGCGGAUUAGCUAGUUGGUGGGGUAAAGGCCUACCAAGGCGACGAUCAGUAGCUGGUCUGAGAGGACGACCAGCCACACUGGGACUGAGACACGGCCCAGACUCCUACGGGAGGCAGCAGUGGGGAAUUUUGGACAAUGGGCGAAAGCCUGAUCCAGCAAUGCCGCGUGUGAGAAGAAGGCCUUCGGGUUGUAAAGCACUUUUGUCCGGAAAGAAAUCCUUGGCCCUAAUACGGUCGGGGGAUGACGGUACCGGAAGAAUAAGCACCGGCUAACUACGUG